UUGUCCGGAAUUACUGGGCGUAAAGAGCUCGUAGGUGGUUUGUCGCGUUGUUCGUGAAAUCUCACGGCUUAACUGUGAGCGUGCGGGCGAUACGGGCAGACUUGAGUACUGCAGGGGAGACUGGAAUUCCUGGUGUAGCGGUGGAAUGCGCAGAUAUCAGGAGGGACACCGGUGGCGAAGGCGGGUCUCUGGGCAGUAACUGACGCUGAGGAGCGAAAGCGUGGGGAGCGAACAGGAUUAGAUACCCUGGUAGUCCACGCCGUAAACGGUGGGUACUAGGUGUGGGUUUCCUUCCUUGGGAUCCGUGCCGUAGCUAACGCAUUAAGUACCCCGCCUGGGGAGUACGGCCGCAAGGCUAAAACUCAAAGAAAUUGACGGGGGCCCGCACAAGCGGCGGAGCAUGUGGAUUAGUUCGAUGCAACGCGAAGAACCUUACCUGGGUUUGACAUGCACAGGACGCCGGCAGAGAUGUCGGUUCCCUUGUGGCCUGUGUGCAGGUGUGCAUGGCUGUCGUCAGCUCGUGUCGUGAGAUGUUGGGUUAAGUCCCGCAACGAGCGCAACCCUUGUCUCAUGUUGCCAGCGGGUAAUGCCGGGGACUCGUGAGAGACUGCCGGGGUCAACUCGGAGGAAGGUGGGGAUGACGUCAAGUCAUCAUGCCCCUUAUGUCCAGGGCUUCACACAUGCUACAAUGGCCGGUACAAAGGGCUGCGAUGCCGCGAGGUUAAGCGAAUCCUUUUAAAGCCGGUCUCAGUUCGGAUCGGGGUCUGCAACUCGACCCCGUGAAGUCGGAGUCGCUAGUAAUCGCAGAUCAGCAACGCUGCG
This 822-nucleotide ribosomal RNA is filed under the name uncultured bacterium. Its description in RNAcentral is "bacterial SSU rRNA". It matches the Rfam family "Bacterial small subunit ribosomal RNA", at positions 541 to 1361 of the family's 1533-position model. The record is from RNAcentral.